GUUCUGUCUUCGGCCGAGGGGGGAUUCUGCCUACACGGUAUGAGUCUCGUUCCCUUUGGGUGUGCGGUGUCAAAGCCGUGCACUCUUAACGGUCGGACAAGUCCGUCGGAGUGUGGUUAUUGUUGGAAGGGCAACCGACCAAUGAGGCCACCGUAAUCGUUCGGGGUGCCUUUAAUCGGGUGUCUCGGGCGGCCGACAUAGUUUACUUUGAACAAAUUAGAGUGCUCAAAGCAGGUGACUACCGCCUGAAUAGUACAGCAUGGAAUGAUGAAAGAGGACCUCGGUCUGAUUUUGCUGGCCUUUAACGGUCGGGCUUCGGCCCGGCCUAUGCAGACCCGAGGUAAUGGUCAAUAGAGACGGACGGGGGCAUCCGUACUGCGGCGACAGAGGUGAAAUUCUUGGACCGCCGCAAGACGAACGACAGCGAAGGCAUUUGCCGAGAAUGUUUUCCUUGAUCAAGAACGAAAGUUAGAGGUUCGAAGGCGAUCAGAUACCGCCCUAGUUCUAACCAUAAACGAUGCCAACUAGCGAUCCGCCGGUGUUACUCCCAUGACUCGGCGGGCAGCUUCCGGGAAACCAAAGUCUUUGGGUUCCGGGGGAAGUAUGGUUGCAAAGCUGAAACUUAAAGGAAUUGACGGAAGGGCACCACCAGGAGUGGAGCCUGCGGCUUAAUUUGACCCAACACGGGAAACCUCACCAGGCCCGGACACUGGAGGGAUUGACAGAUUGAGAGCUCUUUCUUGAUUCGGUGGGUGGUGGUGCAUGGCCGUUCUUAGUUGGUGGAGCGAUUUGUCUGGUUAAUUCCGAUAACGAACGAGGCUCUAGCCUGCUAAAUAGGUGCCGGGUUUUUACAUCUCCUCGCAAGGGGAGAGUGGAGUGUGUGGUUGUCGGGAUCCUGGGCUGUGGUGGUCGUUUAGGCUGCGGGGGGCAACUCUCGUGGUCUGGGCGGCUGUCAUAGUUCACCCGGUGUACGCACACUUCGCGUCCGGCAUUUUUCUUCUUAGAGGGACAAGCGGCGUCCAGCCGCGUGACAGUGAGCAAUAACAGGUCUGUGAUGCCCUUAGAUGUCCUGGGCCGCACGCGCGCUACACUGAAGGAAUCAGCGUGUUAUUCAUCCCUGUCUGAAAAGACCGGGCAACCGCUGAACCUCCUUCGUGGUUGGGAUUGGGGACUGCAAUGAUCCCCAUGAACCAGGAAUCCCUAGUAGGCGCGGGUCACUAGCCCGCGUCGAUUACGUCCCUGCCCUUUGUACACACCGCCCGUCGCUACUACCGAUUGAAUGAUUUAGUGGGAACUUCAGACGGCUAUGUUUGUCCGGGGCAACCCGCGUCGAGCAGGGCUGAAAGAUGUUCAAACUUGAUCCUUUAGAGGAAGUAAAAGUCGUAACAAGGUU
This 1393-nucleotide ribosomal RNA is filed under the name metagenome. RNAcentral describes it as "SSU rRNA". It matches the Rfam family "Eukaryotic small subunit ribosomal RNA", at positions 639 to 1801 of the family's 1831-position model. The record is from RNAcentral.